This 498-nucleotide ribosomal RNA is filed under the name uncultured bacterium. Its description in RNAcentral is "partial 16S ribosomal RNA". It matches the Rfam family "Bacterial small subunit ribosomal RNA", at positions 27 to 507 of the family's 1533-position model. The record is from RNAcentral.
GGAUGAACGCUGGCGGCGUGCCUAAUACAUGCAAGUCGAGCGAACGGACGAGAAGCUUGCUUUUCUGAUGUUAGCGGCGGACGGGUGAGUAACACGUGGAUAACCUACCUAUAAGACUGGGAUAACUUCGGGAAACCGGAGCUAAUACCGGAUAAUAUUUUUAACCGCAUGGUUCAAAAGUGAAAGACGGUCUUGCUGUCACUUAUAGAUGGAUCCGCGCUGCAUUAGCUAGUUGGUAAGGUAACGGCUCACCAAGGCAACGAUGCAUAGCCGACCUGAGAGGGUGAUCGGCCACACUGGAACUGAGACACGGUCCAGACUCCUACGGGAGGCAGCAGUAGGGAAUCUUCCGCAAUGGGCGAAAGCCUGACGGAGCAACGCCGCGUGAGUGAUGAAGGUCUUCGGAUCGUAAAACUCUGUUAUUAGGGAAGAACAUAUGUGUAAGUAACUGUGCACAUCUUGACGGUACCUAAUCAGAAAGCCACGGCUAACUACGUG